This 1177-nucleotide ribosomal RNA is filed under the name Rutstroemia firma. RNAcentral describes it as "LSU rRNA". It matches the Rfam family "Eukaryotic large subunit ribosomal RNA", at positions 75 to 1666 of the family's 3401-position model. The record is from RNAcentral. Lineage: Eukaryota; Fungi; Ascomycota; Leotiomycetes; Helotiales; Rutstroemiaceae.
UUGCCUCAGUAACGGCGAGUGAAGCGGCAUAAGCUCAAAUUUGAAAUCUGGCUCUUUCAGGGUCCGAGUUGUAAUUUGUAGAAGAUGUUUCGGGUGUGGCACCGGUCUAAGUUCCUUGGAACAGGACGUCAUAGAGGGUGAGAAUCCCGUACGUGACUGGCUGCCUACGCCCAUGUGAAACUCUUUCGACGAGUCGAGUUGUUUGGGAAUGCAGCUCAAAAUGGGUGGUAUAUUUCAUCUAAAGCUAAAUAUUGGCCAGAGACCGAUAGCGCACAAGUAGAGUGAUCGAAAGAUGAAAAGCACUUUGGAAAGAGAGUUAAACAGUACGUGAAAUUGUUGAAAGGGAAGCGCUUGCAAUCAGACUUGCGCCUAGUUGAUCAUCCAAGCUUUUGGUUGGUGCACUCGACUAGGCUCAGGCCAGCAUCGGUUUGGGCGGUUGGAUAAAGACUUGGGGAACGUAGCCUCCUUCGGGUGGUGUUAUAGCCCCAGGUGCAAUGCAGCCUGCCUGGACCGAGGACCGCGCUUCGGCUAGGAUGCUGGCGUAAUGGUUGUAAGCGACCCGUCUUGAAACACGGACCAAGGAGUCGACCUAUUUAGCGAGUGUUUGGGUGUUAAACCCAUACGCGUAAUGAAAGUGAACGGAGGUGAGAACCCGUUAGGGCGCAUCAUCGACCGAUCCUGAUGUCUUCGGAUGGAUUUGAGUAAGAGCUAAGUGGGUCGGACCCGAAAGAUGGUGAUCUAUACGUGAAUAGGGUGAAGCCAGAGGAAACUCUGGUGGAGGCUCGCAGCGGUUCUGACGUGCAAAUCGAUCGUCAAAUUUGCGUAUAGGGGCGAAAGACUAAUCGAACCAUUAAACCUUACUAGGUGGUUGAGAGAGGAUCGUUUGAGAGAUCCUUUAGUUCCCACUCGGGGCAACAUCGUCAAAUUGUUCGGGGACCACCUGUGAAUUUGCAAGCUACCGCAGCCAGCUCGAAAGGGUUGGUGAGCACCUGAGAUAGCGACUUAGGGUAUGGUAAUAACGCUUGCAUGGGGUGUAUCCGCAGCGAAUCCCUAAGCCUUUUUAGGUAUGGGUGUCGUUCACAGACUAGACGGCGGUGGACGUGGUAUCGGAAGGUAUAGGCUUAAUAACCCUAUAUUCUUACAUGUCACGCUUAAGAUAUAGUCGAACCCCCCAGAG